AGGAUCAUUGUCGAACCUGCAUUAUGCAAAAAUCCCGCUCCUAACAACCAAAGGCGCGGGAUGCGCCAAGGAAAAUCGAAACGAAUCUGACUCCUGCCUCGGUGCAUUGCAUCGUGUCGGCGAGUGUAUUCGAUAAGUCAUAACGACUCUCGGCAACGGAUAUCUCGGCUCUCGCAUCGAUGAAGAACGUAGCAAAAUGCGAUACGUGGUGUGAAUUGCAGGAUCCCGUGAACCAUCGAGUUUUUGAACGCAAGUUGCGCCCGAAGCCUUUAGGCCGAGGGCACGUCUGCCUGGGCGUCACGCACCGUUGCCCCCCAAACCCCCUCAGUCCUCCACGGAGGAUUGGCGAGGCGCGUGGGGGGCGUAAAGUGGCUUCCCGUCGGCUUUGUCCCGCGGUUGGCCUAAAAAUGAAUCCCUAGCCGCGGUGCGCGCGGCAUUCGGUGGUCAUCGAUCCCUUUCGUUACCCCGCCGCGCGCUCACGUGCCGCGAAGGAUGUCACACUAGUAAACCCGACGCCUCGCUUUGUGAAGAGCGGAGCUUACAACGCGACCCCAGGUCAGGCGGGGCUACCCGCUGAA
This 578-nucleotide ribosomal RNA is filed under the name embryophyte environmental sample. Its description in RNAcentral is "eukaryotic LSU rRNA". The stretch from base 145 to 300 matches the Rfam family "5.8S ribosomal RNA". The record is from RNAcentral. Lineage: Eukaryota; Viridiplantae; Streptophyta.